UCAUGCCAAAGUGGUGCAACAACUUCUGGCCCAUAAUGGACAAACUUAGAUUUGGCAUUAUUUCUGGUGUCGUGUUCCUCAUCGGGCUCAAUCCCGCAUAGAAACUCAAGUUCUUGCUUAGUAACUUCAACAACGUCCGCAAGGUUCCAUGCUUCUUGUAUGAAUAGUUUGGUUUCUUCACUUGACUGCCACAGUGGCAAGGGAAGGUUUACAUCAUAGAAAACAACUGCUCCCAAUUUCUUUGAAACUUUAAUUGCUCGCAAUGCAGUUGAUCUCAUGCUCCGAUCAAGCAGGGAAUGGGUGUUGAAGUAGAACAUUUUUGCCUGGAUAAAAGCUCAUUAAUAAUGUGACUAAAUCCUGGAGAAAUCAAAGUUUGGUCACCGACCUUGAACUGCAGAAAACAUAGCUAUAAGCAGAUGCUAUUUUACAGUUUUACAGAAUUCACAUAAACACCGAGAAAUUUCAUGCCACAGAAAUCAGAAGCAAUAGUAUGACAGCGAGUAACAAAUCCCUCUCUUGGGGUUUUAGAGAACCAACAAGCGUGAGAGUAAAAAACACAGCAUUGCUUUGUGGUAUUUAAAUCAGUUCACGGGCAAUUUUCUCUACGUUAAAAUGACAAGACCAUCUAUUAGUAUCUAAUUACUCUAUUCAUAUACAUGAUUAUAGAAACGGAAGUUGAAUUUUUCAUGUCAUCUAUCUUGCAAAGAUCAGGUCCAUUUCGAAACCCAAACACAUAUAUCAUUUUUAAUGAAAUAACACUGUAAUUUACUGAUUCACAGCAACUUGAUAUAACCACAACCAAGAGGACAAAGAACAAGAGGCACAAAGCAUUAAGAGUUGGAGAUGUUAUUUCUUCCCAGCCCAUUACCUGCUUCAGCACAUCAAUAUUUAGUUCAGACUUCAACAGGGAAUCUUCUGCACAGGACUUGGAACAAGUCAUUCUCAAGCGACCUCGCCUGGCAAUCUUCAUCUGUGAUACCGCUGUUGAUCUUUUACUAUCCAUGCGAACUGAUCGUGUUUGAACGUUGUUCACAUUUAAAAAGUAAAGCAUUGCCUGACCAAACUCAUCAUCUCCAAGUUUUCCCAUGAAAGCAACCUUACCGCCCAAGCUUGCAAGAGCAACUGCAACACCUCCUGCGGAUCCCCCAGGAGCCCUCAUAAAUUUUUCAGGUUCCCAAUAAGCUUCCCUCAUUCUGUCAUGAAUUUCAUAAUUUAAGAGUCUGUUGGCUGGUCUUCCUGUGGGUACAAAAGCAUGUUGUGCAGCUCCAAAACAACAAACAAGAGGGGGCCAAUCAUAUGUGAAGGUGAUAUCCUCUCCGUCAUCUUUAUCUAAUUCCAGGUCUCCAUCACUCUCCUCCUCCAAAUUUGUAACAAAUUCAGACUGCUCCUGAUCACUAUUUUCAGAUUCACUAUCUUGAGUCUCAACAUCCUCAUCCAUCUUUUUUCUUGCCCUCCUCUUCCUGACCUUCUCCGUUGAUGACUCUUCCAAACUAGUAGAAGCAGACACAUCUGUGGGCAACGAAACCAAGGGGUUUAGAAAUUACUAUAAAAAUAACAUUCACUGAAUAAUAAUUACAAUAAGGUUGUACCUUUUCGUCGAGUCCUCCUUCGAGUUUUUUGGGAUCUUCAGACACAACACUUUUCUCAUUAGUAGGAUCAUGAAUCCCACUACUUCAGAAUUCUCCUCAAGAGCAUCAGCUACUUUUUUCUUCCUAGUUCGUGAGGUAGUUCUUUUAGUACCAGUCCUAGUUGUCUUUUUUUUCCCAACUACGCCAUUUUCACCGGGUUCCUCUUCAGGUAAAGCCUCUGAAAUUUUCUUCCUAGAGAUAGCUGCAAGACCCCAUUUAUUUUGCAAUCUAAAAUCCUGAAGCUGGACAAAGUUCAUCCGUUGAUGAUUUGGCCAAUUCAAUUGCCACCUGAACAUUUAAAGAUUAAAAAACACCAACCAAACAAAAGUUACUAAAGAAGUAAACAGAACAAUAAUUUAAAAAAGCCCUUAAUAAACCUCCUUUUUUUUGUGAACAAAAAAAAAAAGCUGCAACUUUACAUUGUGAGUGGAAUAAAAGCAAAGCAACAACAUCCUUUCUUCUUCUUUUUCCCAUCUUAGAAAUUAAGAUAAAACAGCUUUUCAAGUGAUAUGAAGCAUAUUGGAGGAUUAUCUUCACACACGAAGGCCAAAACACACAUCCACUAACCAGCAAUCAAAACCCAUCAAUUAAAGUGAAGUGUAAAGGUGAAAUCAAAGAUUCAGCAGCUAAUACUAAUCCAAAUAUGGAAGUUGAAAGAAAGAAGAUAAAAAACUCAGUAACUAAAGAGUGAAACUUUAGAUAGAAAGAGAACCUGGACAGUGGAAGGAAGUGAGUGAAAGAUAGAGACGCCAUUGCAAUGAAGAAAGACGGAGAGAGCUUUAAUGAUAAUAAUUUUAUUAAAAAAAAGAGAGAGCUCUCGAACUUGUUGAUGGAUUGGUGGGAUUUUUGUGUCUAGACCCCAAAAUGGUUCCGGGGUUUAACAAAACGAGUCAGUAAAGAACACUUGACACUUAUAGCGGGCGAGAUGAGAGGAUAGCGUAAACUUCAUUCUCAUUCUUGUAAAUUGAUCAAUAUCUCACUUAUACCUUUAUAAUUUAUAACCUUUCAAUUUUACCCCCAUGAUGCUGCUCAUUAUAUAGGUAAAGGGUAAAGAUGAAAUAUUGUUUAAUUUGCAGGAGAAAGAUGGAGUGGUAAUAAUAUAUAUUUUUUGCUUUAACUUUUAAUUAGGAAUAAAGAAGAUCUGCACCCUCAUCCUGUAAAAACGAAACCAGCGUGCCAGGCCGGGAAACAACAUAAAACAACGAGAUUUGAAUGCUUGCUUCUCUCUUGGUUUCCUAGAUUUAAUUUAACACUUCCAACACUCGGGUGGGUGCUUGUUCUUUUUCUUUCUUUUCUCUUUUGGGUUUCGUUUGGUUAACGUUAUUAAUGGAUGCUUUAUAACUCCACGGAUUGAAGAAGGGGCAGAAACUCUGACGUUUUCCUUUUCUUCUUCUUCUUAUUUUGAGAGACCAGCACCGUUAUUCAUUGCGGAUAUGAUUCUUUUCAAGCAGCUGCUGCCCACCAAACGUGGGCUAGGUGGUGCCUUGAACCGCUUCAGAGGUAAGAUGUGUUUCUUUUAUCAUGUUAAUUAGACGCUUUUUUUUAUUGUGAGAUAGAUAGAUCAUCAGACGCCAACGUGAUAAGAUACUCUGGCAUUUAAAUUCAUGCUGAAUCUGGUCAAUUUGAUAUCUUUCCGGAAAAUUGCUCAUCUUUAUGUUAUCUAAUCAACGCNNNNNNNNNNNNNNNNNNNNNNNNNNNNNNNNNNNNNNNNNNNNNNNNNNNNNNNNNNNNNNNNNNNNNNNNNNNNNNNNNNNNNNNNNNNNNNNNNNNNNNNNNNNNNNNNNNNNNNNNNNNNNNNNNNNNNNNNNNNNNNNNNNNNNNNNNNNNNNNNNNNNNNNNNNNNNNNNNNNNNNNNNNNNNNNNNNNNNNNNNNNNNNNNNNNNNNNNNNNNNNNNNNNNNNNNNNNNNNNNNNNNNNNNNNNNNNNNNNNNNNNNNNNNNNNNNNNNNNNNNNNNNNNNNNNNNNNNNNNNNNNNNNNNNNNNNNNNNNNNNNNNNNNNNNNNNNNNNNNNNNNNNNNNNNNNNNNNNNNNNNNNNNNNNNNNNNNNNNNNNNNNNNNNNNNNNNNNNNNNNNNNNNNNNNNNNNNNNNNNNNNNNNNNNNNNNNNNNNNNNNNNNNNNNNNNNNNNNNNNNNNNNNNNNNNNNNNNNNNNNNNNNNNNNNNNNNNNNNNACUUGAGCAGAUACGACACGAGGUCUCUCCAAGAGAACUGCCUAUCAUUCAAAAUUUAAUAAAAAAAAAAAAAAAAAAAAAGAGUGAGGUGGGUUCUUUAUGAUGUAAUGCGAAGUUCGAUCAUCAGGUGCCUGUGUUCAUCCAUUUGAAAGUAGUCACGGUCAUAACAACAGAAGAUAUAAAAAAGAAAUUUAAUCCAGUAAGACUUGCAAAGCUACAUUCAUUUUUCACCCAUGACAUGCUUCCCUAAAAGCUUUUUAAAAGAAAUCACUUAGAUCUUCAGGAUAAAUGAAGAGCCCAGAGAUCCUGUCAAAUUCAGUUUGCCUGACAAUAUAUAUGUAUUAAUUGGCAUAAAAAGAGUUUCGGCCAUGAAUAAUUCACAACUAAACAAGAUUGGAUCGCAUAAAAAUGUGUUCAGGAUUUUACUGAUUAAUAAUUUAAUUCAGUAAUUAUAAACUACUACUACCAAGGAAACGGAUGGUGAGUAAAUUGAAAUGUGGGCGGGAAGAAAAGGAGACUCACUCUUCCUUCAGGGCUCUUUUUCAUUCUCUCAACAACUCUUUCAAAAGCAGGUUUUCCAGUUGUUUCUCCAAGCGCCGCUAUCAAAUCCGCCCUUCGUGGAUCUAACAACGCACCCACAGCGGAACCAACCGCAACCGCCGCCUGUUGCCAACUAUUCAGCCGGAUUUUACCUCCUCCUAUCAUUGCUUGCUAUUCUCCCAGAUACAAAAUAUAUACACUUCACUCUUCACGCAUGUAUGAGAGAGAAAGGGGAAAGGAGGAAGGGCAAGACCGGAGACGGUGGUUUUCUUUAAUUAGAGGUGGAUAAAAAAAGAGGAGUGGGCCUUCCUGGAUGUUCUUUCAAGCCCAGGAGGGCUUUUUUUUUUUUUUUGAUUGCCUGCAUGUUCCUGGACUUUCCUCAUGCCGAUACACACACUUUAAUCCUUUCGCACCUUCUACUCUUCUUGUGAUCGUUUCUUUCUUCUCUCUUUUCAACAUUAUUGUAUUGUUUUUUCAGCAGAGUUCUCUGUCAUAUACAGUGAUGUAAAAAGAUUCCAGGUAUGAUUUUUACAAAAUAAUUUAUUUUCUAUAUAUAUAUAUAUAUAUAUAUAUUAUAUAUAAAAAAAUUGAGUGAUUUUUACUAAUUGUACUUCUAACAUAAAAGUCAUGUCAACUUAUUUUUAUCUAUCAAGAACAACCUUUUUAUACCACAAUUCAAUAUCAAAGGCACGUAUUUUUUAUACGUCAUUUCAAAAAGAUUCAAGGUCCAUUGUUGAUUUCUUAAUUUUCUAAAGUGGAUCGAAUUCAUUUAUUAUUUACUUGACAUGACUUGGGAAAAAUGAUUUCUUUUUACCUUGAGUUAUAAUUUGACAUUUGUUUUUUUUUAAAAUAAUUUAUGAUAAAGAUAAGUUGAAAUAACUUUUAGAUUAGAAGAAUGUUUGAAAAAAAUGAUUUCAAUUUUUUUUUUUUAACGAUGAGAUGUAAUAUAAGUCGGGAUUUACAAGUUAAAAUUCAAAAUUCUUAACUUUUAUUAAAUCAAUAUUUAAGCUCAAAUUUGUAACAAACUUUUAAUAUCUAAGUCAAGAACUAUUUCUAAUUCAAAUAUAUAUAUAUGGCUUUUCCAACGAGUAAAAUGUCAAAAAAUAAAUUAAAUCAUUUUAUACCAAACAUAAUCUUACUUCAAAUAAACACAAGAUUAUAGAAAUUCUCAUUUUUCCAGUAAAGUUUUGAUAUGAGAUUAAGAGUCUUACACUAUAAAAUGAUAUAAAACCACAGUAAUAUUAUUGAUAUCAAUAAGGGAAAGAGAUAAAUUAAAUUAUAAGAAUGAUAAUAUAUUGGAGAAUUUGAAUUAAAAUAUUUUGUUUAGGUGUUGAAAUAUAAAAAUAAAUAAAUAUAAAUAAAACUGUUAUAAAACUAAAUUUCACAAAACUAAAAGUAAUAUACAAAAAUAUAUUAAGGUCCUUGGAAUUGCCAGGUGAUGGAGGUGGGUUUGGAAUGUCUGGGCACACACCAUGCCACAAGCCGAAACCUGGUUGGGCCAACCUCAAUUUGGGCUCUGGGCUGUUUCUGGAAGCUAGGCUUAGCCGAAGGGCAGUCGGUGCAUAAGCUGGUAGCAAAACCUGGGCUUGAUGGCCCGACCAAACCAGAGGGAGUUCGGGGAAAUCUAAUUGAAAUUGAACCUGUUUUACUCUCAAAUCGAAUGGGCCUUGAAUACAUUUUAUAAUCAGGAUUAUAUUCUUGUCAUUAUUUGACUUUUUCCUUGAUGAUUUGCAUUUGAGAGGUCUAUUCUGGGCAUUGCUUGCUUAAUGGAUGUUGUGGUUUAUAGCUGUGGAGGUUAAUCUGAAAAUCAAAUACGUGGAGCGAAUGAUAAGAAAUUAAGUCCUGGCUAGCACAAGUCAAAUAAUGUGCUAAUUUGUACUAAUUUCUCUCUUGAAAACUUAAAUUGAUGCGUGACAGUUGCCACUGGAGGCAGAAAUUAGUUUCGUGUGUGGAAUCUUAUUAUUAUUAUUUUUUAAUGUAGUUAUUGAACUAGUUUGUGUUUAUUUGAUUAAUUCCAUAAACAUAAAAUUAACCAUCAUAUAAACUUUCGGUAUCAAUCAUAUUAACAACCACAAACUCAAACCUGAUCUUAUUUUUUAAUAACAUGUUCUAAUUCAUUUAUUUACUGUACCAAAAUAAUAUUUAUUUAUUAUAAUUAUAAUAUAAAAAUAAAAGAAACUAAGAGAUUUUCAUAGUCUGAUCAAAAGAAAGAGCAGGUAAAGGAAACUUGAGUGGUAUAUCGUUUCUCCGCUGGAAACUUGUGUUUUCGGGCUGCUCCUUGGUGUCCAGGUCCAUUCUCGUUUUGUUCUGAAAAAAUAAAUUAAUGGAAACAGGUUAAAGAAAUCAGGAAUACACAGAGACUUUUGAUACGAGAAUUAAUAAAAAGGGUUACUUCCCAUUUAUCUCCAAGAAACCACUGAAUAUUACGGCACACGGAAAUAUUAAUAUUCCAUUUUCAUCUCCUUGGAGAUGGAAAAUCACGAGCAAGAGAUCACGGUGGAUGAUAUGAGCAGUGAAGGAAAACACGACCAAUGUGUGUAUAAAAUUUUUUUAUGUAUGUUUUCAUGACUAAAUACGUCAUGGAUCUAGAAUAUAUUAAAAUAAAAACUAAAAAAGAAGGAGAAUUCAGUGUGCUCAUUAGAUAUAAAAUACUAUUCAUCGUUAUUAUCAUUUUAUCAUUCUAAAAAGAAUGAAUUAUCUUGUUUUUUUUGGGUAAUGAGAUCUUUUCACAUGGUUAAUUAAUUAUUAUUAGAUUCAAGCUUUUGAAACACAAGACAAUAACUAAAUUAAUCUUAAAAAACAUAAUUUCUUUAAUUAACGUCUAGGAUCUUUUUUGAAUUUUAACUUUUUAAAACACAAUAAAAUAACUAAAUUACAUUUGAAACAAAAAAAAUCUUUAAAUGGUAUCCAAGGUUUUUUUUUUUCAUUAUGUUUUUGUGGUUACAAUCAAGUUAAUUGAGGGUACUUUGAUUUUUUUUUUAAUAAAUAUAAAUAUUAUUUUAAAAACUAGUUGACGCCUACAUUAUACAUUUCAGAUUGUGGAAUGCCUCCACACUAUUCUAACAACACAUUCAGAGGUGUUUGGAGGCCAAAUAAUGGCUUAUUGGGUAGCGCUAGAAUCAUCUCGGUGACCUUUCAUCAUUGAAUGACAUAUAUGAUUUACUAACCUCCAAUAUGAUGUCGACGACCUUUUUUCCUUUUUUUUCUCUUUUUUCUUUCAUUUUCAUGCUUGACGUUUCAAAAUUUAAAGCAUUUAUUUAAUUUGUUUUUGUUUCAGAUUUAAUCUAUAUUUUUUAUUAUCAUUUUAUUAUUAUGAUUGCUAUCAAAUUUGCUAUUUGUUAUCCAUCAUUUAAGUUUGUUGGGGGAUGAAACUUUGUUUUUUCUAUAAAAUUAUCCUGAUAUCAUAUGUAAGGUCAUAUAUUUGGUGAAUUAACUCAGAUUGACUCGAACUAAAUGUUUUUAUUCAAUUUAUUUGUUAUUAUUGUCUAUUUUUUUUAUCACAUUAUUAAAUCACCCAAAUUUCUUGAAUCCAUUCAAUAAACUCUUGAAUUUUGAUUGAUUUUUUAAAAAAGAAUAUCAAAAAGUUUGGUCCAACUGACACUAUACCGAGUUCUACCACUGUAGUAGAGAGCAUAAAAUAGCAUGCCGAUGGAAAGGGAAUAUACAUGUCCAUUUAUAGCUAGGCUUACGUAGCAAACUCAUUAUCGAUAAGUGGACCACUAUGAAACAAGUGGAUUUUUCCAUCUCAUGGAUCAUGUUUGACAGACAGAGACGUUUCUUUUUUGCACAGAUUGACAAAACAAUAAAUCAGGUUACCCAACUGAUCAAUGGUGGGUGGAAGAAAAGAGUGGUUCAUUGUGCAUACAAGAAAAGUUUCUUCCGAGUGCUCGGAAGUCAGGUCUGUUUGCAUCCUGUCAUUGUAACUCAAAAGGUCGGUUAACAUCAACUCGAAAAUAGCAUAAUCUUCGGGAAACCAUCGACAAGUUGUAUGAACUAAGAUCCGAGAGGAAAGAAGGAAUAAUUAUAUUGCAGAGCUUCUUGGCGAAGGCUUUCCGUAAUUGAUUCUAAGAUAUUCUAUACUUUACUGUAUCCCAUUUUGAUUCUAAGAUAUUCUCCAAAGUAACCCCGGGCCGGCAUCUCUCUUCAUCAGAGCUUGGAGGUGUCACGAUCGACACCUGUGACUCUGUACCCUCUUCCGUGCUUGUAAGAGAAUACAUUUAUUCUCCUGUUAACAUGCAAGGCUAAGUUUGUAGAGAAGACCGUGAUAAUAUCUAUUUUUUCUGUAAAUAUAAAUAACCUGCUUAGGAUUUCAUUCGAGGAAAAAAAUAAUUUAAUCCCAGCAUAUAAACGAUCGAGUUAGAAUGUUAAAACCAGACGGGAACAGAUAAAAGCAUGUCUGAUAUAUAUUAUUAAUUCGUAGCGUAUAUUAAACCUGCCCCCCAUGUUGUUCCACAAGAAGAAGAAGAAGAAGAAGAAACCCAGAUGUAUGGGCCAGUUACGUUGCAUUCAACAGCUACAAUCAUCAAAAGAAAGACAAAACUAAUUAAUGUGAAGAUACAUGUAUGUAUCAUUAUCAAUAUCAAUUCCAGAAGUUGAUAAACAAACUACAAGGCCCACGAUAUCGACAACACUGAUACGACACAUAUAAUCAAUCAAGUUCAUCUCUUAAUUUUAACAGAAAAUGGCAAGAAAAUUGAUAAUUCCGGCCCGUUGUGUUUUCAAUAUCGACCACUUGAUUUUUUUCUUUUCGUAUGAAAAAAAAUCCUAUAUAUCUGCACAGCACACGUAUAAGAUAUAUUGGUUAUAUAUCAUUUAAUUAUGGAUUAAAUACCACAUAGGAACACUCGAAGAUUAUUAAUUAUCAUUGUUUCAAGGGUAAGAGUAUACAUUUACACCCUAAAUUUCAUAUAUUAAAACUGAAUUCUCUUUCCCAUCGAGUUUUAAAUCGGGCUAUGCACUUGUAAAAUACUCUAUGCGUAGACCGAAGAGCAGUGCAAAUUAAUAGUUAACUAUGCACAAAACAGACAACAGCCAAAGAUUUCUGCAGCGAACAUGUUUACGCACAAUUUCUUAAGUUCUUGUAUAUAUGUAAUGAAAUGUCGUUAUAGGGGAGUUUUACGAGGUGGUUCUUCUGGUAGAGAAACUGGAGCUGAAAAUGACCACUAAACUCAGAUCGAUUGACAAAAUAAUUGUGGGCACGCUAGCUACUGCAAGUACCCCCUAGGGGCUAGGAUGCAUAGCGUGACACGACAACGUGUAUAUGAACAGGCCUUGAACAGCAACAUGAACUGUGUAUGAAUAACCUUCACGCUACAAUAUAUAUAGUUUUUUAAAAAAACCGUGACACGAUACCAAACAAAUAUACUUAAUUGACAAUACCAACUAGAACUAGGAGUAACUCGCUAUUUAAUCCGAGUUUCAGGCUUUCAGCACUGGUUUAAUCUUUAAAAAAAAAAUAAAUUAUAUCGAGUAUACAAAUUGUUUUAAUGUAAAAAAAUUUAAAGUAUAAAUUAAAAAAUUUAUGGAAGUUUCUAGUUAAAUAAAUUGAUAAUUAUCUAUAUAUAAAAAAAAAUCGAAAAAAACUGAAAAACCUAAGAAAUGAAUUUAUAUUAAGAUGUUCAAUUAUAUAAAAUGAAACAAUAAUGUAAUUUUAUUGUAUUUACUUAACUUAUUUAUUUAAAUCAAUAAAAGAUAAAUCUACACCCUAAAAAACUCAUGAUUUAAAAGAUAAAUAUUAAUGAAAAUGACUGAAUAAACUCACGCUAAAAAAGUAUAACGCAAGGUCAAACACAUUAUCAAUAUUAUUUAUAAACAAAUAUUUUUUAUUUUAAAAAAUAAACCUUAUUUGUAUAAAAAAAUAUAUAUAGAUGAAUUAAAAUAAUAUCUUGAAAAAUCAAACAGAUAUAGAACAACUAAAAAAAUUUAUAUUGAAAAAAGACAUGCAAAACUCAUAACCUGGGUUAUGAGACUGGAAUAAACCCAUAGAAAAAACUUGAAGAUAAUCACAAAACCAGUAUUAAAAAAAAAACACUACAAGAUGAUAAGAUCGUACGAAGCUGAAUCUCCAAAAAUUAAAUUAUGAAAGAUGAAACUAGGAAAAAAAUCAAUUAUACAAACAAAUCUAAGAAAAUGAGGGUGGAAAAAAACAUUAAUUAGAGGGAUAAAAAUUUUCAAUUUGAGGGUUAAAUUGAAUUGAAAAAUAACUUUAAUAAAAGAAAAAACAAAUAAAAAAAACGAGGAUCAAAGUGGAAUAAAUAAAGCAAAAAAUUUUGAUUGAAUAAUGAAAUUGAAAACAAAAAAUACUUCAACAAAAGUGCCAAGAUUUUUUUUUAAAAAAAUAAGGAUCAACAUAAAAAAUAAAACAUAUAAAAAAUUGCAAUUGAAGGACUAAAUUGAAAAACAAACUUCUAUAAAAAGAAUACGAAUUAAAAGAAUGAGGAUUGAAAUUAAAAAGAAAAUGGUUAGAAAUUGUAAUUGAAUGAUUAAAUUGAAAAGAAAAAAAACUUGUAUAAAUGAAAGCAAAACAAAAUAAAAAAUUGAAAUAAUGAGGACUAGAAUUGAAAAGUAAGAAACAAAGAAGACAAUGGUGUACAUUACAUGUUAUGAUAGAGAAAAGAAGAGGAAAAAAAUCAAAUGACCACUAGCAACCAUUUAACCACCGUAAGCCGACACAAGCCACUCCACAAGAAAGAGAACACGGUGGCGCAUCUAGAAAUGGCGGGGGGGCAUUUUAGCCACUGAAGGGUGUGCUCACAUGCAACGCCUGAAUGACGCGGAUACCACCAACUCACUGGUUUAUGUUGAACAAAACUUCUUGGAUCCAAGGUUAUAUUUAUAGUUCUCUGGUAUAUGAAAAAAAAAUAUAUAUACCCCUACUUGAAACAAUUGAUUUUUUUUUAUCUUAGGGAUUUUCUGUUAUUUUAAUAUUCAUUAAAAAUUUAUAUAGAUAAAAAUAAAUACACACAAAUCAAUAAUGGUGAUUGAUUCUUCUAAAAAUACUAAAAUAUUCCUAAAUAAAAAAACAACUGUUUUUUUUUUCCUAUAAUAUAAACAUCAAUCACCACUAUCAUAAUGAAAAUAGUACACUGAAUCUAUAGUUACAGUAAAUCCUGAUCAAUGCCACUGUUAUAUGUUGUAUUUCUAUGCAAUUGUAUUAAUAUACACGAUCGACACUCCACGUGAAAAGAAUAUUAAAUUAAUAAUUUUAGAUGUUGUAAUAUUAUAUAUAUUGAACUUGGAAAUAUUAUUAAAAAAAUAUCUUAAAUACAUAGCCAAAACACGCUACAAAACAAGGGGUGUGUGAUGAAUAUACAAUGGGUGAAUGCGUAUAAACUAAUCUUAGAGUACACGGAAUGAAAACAAAUUCAAAGAAGAAUCUAACCACGUUCUAACUAUAGUGAUGAUUGCUUGAUGGAUUAAUUAAUGGCAGAGACAUAAUGUUUGAAUUGAAAACUUACUUUUAUAGUUGAAAGUGAAGAAUUUGACGCAGUUAAAUUAUAUCCCAAUAUCCUCCGGUACUCUUACCUUAAUUAUUCCUUGUGAACGCGUUUUAACUGGUCAUUAAGGGUGUCUUGUAGUCAACAUUUUUUAUAUGUUAAUGUUGUUUUCAGCCGUAAACUCUCUUGACUAAUUGCUUGUUGGGCAUCCAUAAAGUCAACAUUUUUUCAAUUAAUUAAUGCUUGAAAGAAGGGUUUUAAUUAGUUCUAUAGCAAUAAUAACUUUGAAUUCAAAUAAUAGCAAUAAAUACUUUGAAUUCAAACUUUUUAUGGAAAAUGAUGAGCGGAUAGCUACACUAUUUAUGAAAAAAAGUAGGUUAAAUAAUAGCAAUAAAUACUUCGAUUUUAAAAUAAAAAAACAAAACCCUGUAUCUAUCCGAGUUAUAAUCGAUCUGGCGUAUAUCAAAGUGCAGGUUGACUCCGUGUGCUUUUUUUUUUUAAAGGAAAAUUAUAUCCCAGGGCCCUUGUAAGACUAUCCUCCUUUUAUUAUUGAUAUAUACUAUCCCAGGAGGAGUUGAGGAUUAGCACAGAGAAUUAUCACUGGAAAUGAUUUCACGUAAAGUGUUUUUGCUGUUGAGCAGCAUGAUAAUUUCCUCCUCUUUUUUUAAAAAAUAAUUAAUUACAGUCAUAAUUGGAUUAGACCACUAAACAUGUCAUGCACCAAACCAACUAGGAGACGAUUAAGAAUUACUAAUGGUCCUCCUGGGAGGUGGAUCAGAAGCUAAUUUCAUCGUUGAGGUUUUAUAUAUUCCCUUCAUUUCUCGCCUAAAUUUUCCGUUCCUCUCAUGCUUGAAAAGACUGUUUGGUUUCUUUUCUGCAAUAUCACCAAAGCCUUCUUCCUGGUGAAAAAUGAUUUUUUACCAUUUUAGCCCUUCAGAUGUAUUAUUAUGCAUGUCUAAACUAACAAUUACGUCAAGGUAACAAGUGAUGAUAAUCCCAUCAACUCGAGAUUCCUCUCUAUCCCAAUAGCACGGAGAAAUUAAUUAAAAAUAAAACAAAAUCGUGGCUAAUGGCCCGAAUCAGGGAAGAAGUUCCCAGAAAUUUUAAAUAACGCGUAGGGGACACCGAAACAUGUGCGAAUUUCAUCACAGAUGUUUGCAUGGAUAAGUGCUUGGAGGAUAACGCUAGCAUAGUUUUAUUACUAGCUAGCAAUAAUUUCGGUAUAAGAUAUUAGGAUUUAGCAGCUAGCACUCUGAUUCCAAAUACAUGUUGGGAAGUUGGGAGGCACCAGAUCCUCGCUCCAAACUUGAAUAGAUUUGCCUUAAGAAGCAAAUUCUGGACUGGUUCUGAAAUAAUCAAUGGCUUAAUUAGUUUAAAAAUACAUUUUAAGUGGAUUGAUGGGAUGAUCAUUGACACUUCAAUUAAUCCAGAUCUCUGAGUCGAAAUCUGUUAGCAAAUCAGUACGCGAGCUCCUUUUUUGCAAGCAUAAAGUUGAGAAGUUCUUCUCGAAGAACUAGCUAGUUGAAAAAUGUAGGGUGGCGGUGUCGGAUAGAGAAAGCUUAGAGUUCUUAUCAUUCAUUUUUUUCUCUCUCCAAGAUUAGAACCAGAAGGGGAUCGAAGACAUCAGGCUCGAAGACAUCAUCUAACGGCUCUUGUUACUCCCUAAAAGGGACAUAAAAUGCCAUCACACCAUCAGGAUGUCAGUCCCUUUUGAUAAUACAAUAGAUUCCUGAAAUUCUGGGGCAUUGAUCAAUUAGCCAGUGCCUUUUAUAAAAGAUCUUUUACUUCCAGGUUCCAACACCCACUCCUCUCCCUUUCCCUCUUGCACUGUUGCUUGAUAUUGAUGGUAUGAGAUUCCAAACCUCUCUUGAUAUGUUCAUCAUUAGUUUUCUCUCUCUCUCUCUUUAUUUUCUAUGGUGGUGGGGAAGUUGGAGAAACUAGAGAAAACGAUGGCUGGCAUGAUAUCUUUAAUGCAAACACCAUGAAAGUUUCUUUAUGCCACAAAAAAAAAAUGCUCCGAGAGAUUAUGAUGGCAUAGUUAACUCCUUCCAACCAUGAGAAGAAACAGUAUAAAUUAAUACAUAGCUUUGGAGCCUACAGAAUAACUGUAAUACUUAAUACUGAUAAUAUAUAUAUAUAUAUAUAUCAUAGUAAUCAUGUAACCCACCAGCACUAUAUUCAUAUGCCUGUAAAUAUGUGAAAAGAUUUAAAUUCUGGAAAUCAUUGUGGCCGUCCACUCUAAAUCAAUAGCAAGCACAAAAGCACCAUGCAUCAUGAUUCAAGGGGCAGGAAGAGCGCACAUUACACACGAUCCUAGCAAGUGGAGGAAUAUAGGGGGAAUCAAGAUUCAAGAAAGUGAUAGAGAGAGGGGUAAAAUGUGAGACACGCAAGUAGAUUUGAAAAGCGUAAAAAUUAGCUGGUUCUGGGGAGACAAGCACGAGAAACCUGAAUAAAUAAAAGGAAGGAUAUAUUUUUCAAAGGAGCAAAAACUAACGUAAAAUUGAAAAGGAAAAAAAAAUAUGGAAAAUUAUCACCAUGCUCUGUAGCAGAAUGCGCUCUAUUUCUAUCCUUGUUUAUAUCAUGGACACGGAGAGUUUACGUUUCAUCCUGUCCUAUCAUAUUCUAUUCAGCGUAGGGAUUGGUUAACAGUAUGUUUGUUCAAAAUUUAUUUAUUUUAUUUAAAAUUAAUUUUUUAGUAUGUUUAUAUAGUUUUGAUGUGUUGAUAUUAAAAAUAAAUUUUAAAAGAUAAAAUGCAUUAUUUUAAUACAUUUUCAAAUUAAAAAAAUAUUUUAAAACAUAAUUUCUACCAUACUUUCAAACAAAUGCAUAAAACAAAAAUAUUUGUUGUUAUUGUUAACAAACACUUAGAACAUUCACUAUCUUACAAAUCAUUGUUGACUUAUCAUUAUUUUGAUUUUUUUUGUUUUUAAAUUUUAUUAUUUAAUGUUAAAAUUAUUUAAAAUUAAAUUUUAUAAUUUGUUUUUUACAAUUGGUUUCAUAAUCCUUGUUUUGAAAAAUUAUCUCAGAUUUUUAAUUUUUUUUUUUAUUCUUUAACAUUGAUUUGCAUAGGAUUGAUUGAGCUUUAUAUUUAUUUCGACUUGCAUUAUACAUGGUUGUCUUAGUUUUAUGAAUUAAAUUGCAGGUUUACAAGUUAACUCAAGUUGACUUGUAUUGUUUUUUGGAUAUGUUUUUAAUUUUUCUCAUGUUUUGCCUUUUAAUAUUAAGUUAAUUGUGUAUUAGAAUUAUAAUUUAUUUUUUGAGUUAUUAAGGUCUUACGAUAUAAGUUAUGGAUUUAGUAGGUUGACUCGGAUUAGCUUAAUUCAAUUUAAUAUAUUAUUAUUUUAUAUAAUAUGUUUUGAAUAAAAUGUUCUCAUGCAAAUUUCUUAGCUAAAUUAUAUUUUUAGCAGUCAAAACAGUCUUAACAUGAUUUAUUUAUUUUAUUAAAAAAUAUAUUAAAUAUUUAUUUUUAUAUUUGUUUUAUAAAAAUUGAUCUCACCCCUGAUAUAACGCAAUCAACGAUAUAGUCAUUAAUUUUAGUGAAACAAAGAUGAAAGUCCUUAUUGGUACAUUUGUCACGAAAUGAUGACAGGUGUUCGGUCUUAGUACUCUCCUCAGAAACUCUAUGUGCUGGCCUUUUUUUUUUAUUAUUAUUAUUUAUUUCCAAAAAUCAAGACUAAUCAAUAUUGAAUGCUAAUAAUGAUUCAGGAUGUAGGAAUAGUAUAUUAUUAUUAGCAAAAAAAAAAAAAAAAAACCUAAACUCAUUGGUUUUUAUUUGGCAACAACAAACUCUAUUUAUUAUUAUUAUUAUUAAUUACUAAAUUGUUGAGCACUUGAUUUACAUUUUGAGGUAGAUAGAUGCGUAAUGGGAACAGAGGAGAGGAUCUAGCAUUUCAGAGAUUUUCUCUUCUAUUUAUUUACAAAAGAGACAGAAUUUCCUCAGUUUCCCUGUCUAUUUUUAUCCGUUUACUUUUGUGUCUGUGUUUUGUCACGAUCAUUGGAUGCACGUGGAAACCCAGAAGGUAAAAAUUGCUUUGUUGUUCUCUUCCAAUGCUCCUCUAGUUCUACUGCAAGUAUACAACAACUUCUUCUUCUUGCGCGUCUACAAUUCCUUUUCUUAUAUAUAUAUAUAUAUAUAUAAUGUGAUUUAUUUCCUGGGCUUGUGUGUGUGUGUGUAGAGAGAGAGAGAGAGAGAGAGAGAGAUUAGAGACUGACAUGCAUAAUAAUAAUUUCGUGUUUCUGUCGAUAUAUAACCCUCAUUAUCACCAUAUUCCGUCUUCUUCUCUUUGCCAAAUCAUCUCUCUCUUUCUCCUUCUUUUUUGUAAGCAUUUUUUUUUCUUCUCUCCUUUUUCUUUCUGUGUUUCUUUUUUGCACGUAUGAUUGCAAGAAUCUUGUUUUUUCUUUUUAUUUCGAGAAAUCUGUAUGUGUGUUUGUUGCUUUGAUUUAUUGGUGUAACGGGGCAUGGGAUUUUUAAAUGGUUUUUUUUUUUUUUGUGAUCUGGGUUUGGUUAAUUACUAGGAGAAAUCUCUCCUUUUCUUUUCCUGUCACUUAUCUUUGAAUUAUAAUGAUCAUGCCAUUUAUUGUUCGGUUGCCAUUUUAUUUUGUUAUUUUCAAUUUGAACUGAAUGUAUCAAUUAAUUUUUCUUUCUGUUUAUACAAGAGAAGUUUGCUGUUUCUUGGAUUUUCUAUUGGAAGAUUAUUGAAUUAUCCUGUUAUGAGUCAGGGAUGUUGUAAAGUGAAAAUUGUCUAAUUUCUUGUUGUCUUAGUAGCUUUAUUCUAUGCCAAAUUGCCAAUGAACUGUGACACUUGGUGGCUAUUCGAUGUUAUAGUUCUCUCUCGCUUUUUUUUUUCCUUUCACUUGCUGCCACUUUGUUGUUUGUGAUUUGUUGCUCUUUUGACCAUUAUAUUUUUCUUGGUGGUGUUUCAUUUGUUAAAUAUGUUAAUAGUUGAGUUGUUAAACUUGCUGAGUAGGAUGGCUCAUUCUGGGGUUCAUAAAGAUAGAGGGGAGUUGAGGAUUCAUGAGAAUUUGGAUGAGCUUGGCACUGAUUUGGCAGAAUAUAUUGCUGAAUUAUCAGAGGCAUCGGUGAAGGAGAGGGGUGUCUUUGCCAUUGGCCAUAUCUGGUGGUUCUCUCAUUGGCUUGAUGGGGUAUUUAUGCAAUUGCAUUUCGUGUUUCCUCGUUUUUUGGUUUUAUGAUGUUUGUGUUUUUGUUUACAUUUCUGGUGGGUAACAGGAAACUUUGUGAAGCUCCUUAUAACAAGACUGUAGACUGGGCUAAAUGGUAUGUAUUUUGGGCGGAUGAACGGGUGGUAGCCAAAACCCAUGCUGAUAGCAAUUAUAAGCUGGCAAAGGAUGGUCUUUUGUCCAAGGUUUGUGCCUUUGUUUGUUUCCUUUAUAUUUUCCAACUGUCCUUUAUCUACAUGCAUCCGGUAAUCAGUCUCCAAAAAGACUUUAAGGGAAGGAAAUUGAAGUAUUUCAAAGUGCCUUCCUUGGUCAAGCAUUUUGCUGCAUUUUGAGUUCUUGGCUUUGUUCACCAAAUAACCAAGUACAGAUUCUUCUGUUUUCCUAUUAAAUAGGCAACUACGUUGGUUUCGUGAUGCCAUUGCUAGAAUAAAUUCACCUCCCAAACUGGUCUUGAUCUGAUGCAAUGCCUAGGUUUUCCUCUUGUGGGUAGAUAGUUUGUAUUUGCAGUUGAUGGCAAGUCUCUCAUGAAACCACCUCAAGUAGUCAUCUAGUCAUUAGAUGACUCUAGACUUCUGCUGUUGUGAUAUCGCAUCGAAAAUAGAGUACUAUGAGCUUCACGUUUCCAUUUUGUAUUGUUGCAUGCAUUUUCAUUUGGUAUUUUUACAUUUUGUAUCUUUGCAUUCAUUUUCAUUUGGUAUUUUCAUUCGCUUGUUCAGCAUAGAUAGUCAAGUCCCAUUUCUAAUUUUGCUGAAAUGUCUGUGUCUUCUUUUCAAACUCUGGAAAAUCACUGCUAUCAUCCAGUAUCAACUUUUUUGCAGUUCAAUUAAUUUUGCACCUAAAAAAGAUGUCAAAUGUAUUCUGGAUGCUUCUGUUGGCCAUUUAAUGCAGUAUCCAUUUCUACUAACCUCUGUCAAAGGCUGUUUCUCUGUACAUGUUGUUUCUUCUGCUCUGUGCAACCCAAUAUAGCCAAAAAUGCCAGCCACUUUGAUUGGCCUUUUAAAAUCAAUCAUUUUUCUUUUUCUUUUUUACCAUGUGGACCGAUAAACCUGAGCUAAUCUUUGACAAUCAUCUUCCAUUGCCACCCCGGCCAAUCAUCUACCUGUCUAACCUUGACCCACCAUCUUAAGCAGCUUCUUUCUUGUAGUUGACAUGGUAGAGAUGUUGGAAAUUUUAGACAAAGGCCUUAGUCAAUGUGUUCUCAUUCAGAAUGCUCAGGCUUUCUUAGGCUUUACAUUCCUUGGUGCAGGGUGGUUGUGAAAAUUCCCCUACUAGUGCUAACUUGAAAUAAGAGUUGCAUGAAUAUGAGCUUUAAAUAAAAAUGUUAUCAGAGAGUUGAAGCUACCCUGUGUUUAUAUGAGACAUUGAUUUGUUGCUGUUUCGUGAAUGCUAUGCUUUGGUACUGUGUAUUUUCAUAUGUAUAUUAGAUACAUGUCUUUUCUUCCACCACACUUCUUAGAUUUUUUACUAUGAUGUAUGACAAUGCCCUUUUUGGAAAUGUUGCAGCCCCCUGAACAAAGAUGAAAUAGGAAAAAUUGUGUAUGUCGCAUAAAGAGCUCUUCUUGCUUCCCUGAACGCCUAGGGAAUAUGCAAGCCAUAUUUUAAUACCAUGUUUUCCCUUAUGACACAGAACAUGGACCCAUUGCAUAUUAAAAGGAAAAGAUAUAGUUUAAUUUUGAUUGCCAUUACAUCAUCAGGCCUGUUGGUGAAUUUGAAGGGAACCAUUACCAAAUGCCAAUAGGUAAGAUCAGUCAUUAAGCAUGGAGAUUGGUCACUUUAUAUAUUUUGGCACAAUUUAACAUAUAGAAAAUGCAGAUAACUUUGACAAUAGCGUAGAUAACUAGAAAGAAAAGAACAUCGUGAAUGAUUUAUCUUUUAGAUGUAGAAGCUUUUCGUUUCUUCAUCUCUGCUUCAUCAGAGGCUUGAAGUGGAAACAACAAAAGAUUCAGCUAGUCUAACGCUUCUCUUGUUGGGUAAAAUGCUACGACAGUCACCUGCAUCCUUAUCGUUUUAUGCAUGUUAUGCUAGCAGGUACCUGUUGUACCCAGUCAUGUGAAUUCUAUCAAUGAUUCAGUGUCAGCAGAGGAGGCUGCUGACGACUAUGAAUUUCAUGUUCGACAGUUAGUGAAAACACGAACAAUUAAUGUGUCUGAUAUUAGUGACUCCCCAAGUUUGACCUCAUCCUUCUUGGUAUGGGCUCUGAUGGUCAUGUUGCCUCACUAUUCCCUAACCACCCUGUGCUUGACGAGAAAGAUGAGUGGGUUACUUUUAUUACUGACUCCCCCAAAUCCCCACCGGAGAGGAUCACCUUCACUUUGCCUGUCAUCAACUCAGCAUCCAAUGUGGUCGUGGUCGUGACAGGCGAGAGCAAAGCAGAGGCUGUACACUUGGCAAUUGAUGACGUAGGAGCUGACAGCCUGUCAUUGCCUGCACGGCUGGUCCAGCCAACAAAAGGGAAGUUGGCGUGGUUUUUGGAUAAGCUGGCUGCCUCAAAACUUGACGGUUCUCAGUUUUCUGAGUAGGGUCAAGCUUUUACUGUCAAUGUGUAUGUUUGUAUGUAGUGGACGUACUCAACACCUGUGGAUUCUUUUCUUUCCUAUGACACCCCCUUGUUUGCUUUGGGUUAAAUUCUCCAUUUUGGCUUUUAUUCUCUCUUCUUUAGAGGAGUUGGAGAAGUGUGAUUAUCCUCUUUGUAUGAAGAAUAAAGUUGGGGCCUCAGUGCAAAACUUUUUCUGGUUCUGGUUUCUUUUAGGAUGGAUUGCGAUGGUGGGAUAGUAGUUCAUCGGAAAGCCAGCCCAUCGGGAUGUUAAACAGGUCCUGUCUUUUGCUUCACAGAGAGAUUACAAGUUCCAUGACUUUCUGUAGGACUUCACUCCUUUAUUUUUCUUUUUUCUUUUUCUUUUUCUUUUCUUUUUUAUUUUUUAUAACGUGACCCUGACAUUUUUAAUAGCUUGUGAAUGACAGAAAAGCAAUCAACUGAUACAGAGCCAUUUUCUUGUACAUUCCUGUUGCACUUGAUAAUCACAGCGUUCAAGGGAAAUAAAUAUUCAGGGAAAAAAGAUAAAAAGAGAGAAGAAUAAUCUGAAACCUAAUCCUGCCUUAAACGUGACAUCACUUUCCACAGAAAUCAAGAUUAGCUAUUCACCUACUCCAAGUUAUCAUACACUAAAUAAUGGUGACAGCAUCUAGGCUUUCCCCAAGCCUGUGUAGACGUGUAAUUUCUUUUCCCCUAAACUUUUUUGUUUUUUUGAUUUAAACUUUAUAAGACCAAAUUGAAUGCCAGAUUUUAGUUGAUUUGUUAGGAAAUGGUAAAGAUUAAAAAAUAAGAUAUUAAAGUGAAAAAAACAAAUAAAUAAUUAGUUUUUUUACUUUUUGAUUAAAUGUUCAUUAUAGUCCGCAUGUAUUUUGAAUUAUAAAAUAUUAGGUCCUCUAAUUUCUUAAUUUUUUAAAAAAUAUAAAUUUUAAUUUAAAAUUUUAUCUUUAUUAUUUUUCAGUUUUUGAUUAAAAAAAAAAAAAGGAAAGUCACUAGAUUCCGGUAUCAAAAAAAAUUAUUGAUAAUAAUUAUUAAUACCGAUUUCAACCGACAAAAUAAUCAUAUUUUGAAUCAAGAGUUGUCCAUGAAUCAAGAACGUUUGCUCCAAUGGGUAGGGUAUUCAGAAUUAAUAAUUCAUAUCCUGGGUGAGCCUAAUCAGACUACUAAGAAAUUUAUAUUUGGAUUUAAGCAGAAUAUUUUCCUACGCCCUCCCCUGGAAAGCAGGAAUAAUGGCAUUUGAUGCCCGCGCCUCUGCUGAAGAAAAUGAAGACCGGAGAGUUUGGCAAACAGUAAUUUGUGAUGAUAGAUGCUAUCCGUAAAAUACAAAAUUGAUGCUACAUCCAAGAAGCCUUGUACGCAUACUCCUUCUCCGUUUCCGAACUGGUGUCAUCUGGAACAGGCUUCACCGGGCGGCAUUCCAUUUCUGGUGGUGGCAUGUAGCCUUCCGGAUCAGAAUCGUUCUCCAAAGUGCGGUAUUCCUUUUCUGUUACUGACCUUAUGCCAUUUUCAUCAGGCUCCACUUCAUCUCCCAUCUCUUCCCUGGGAGGAAAGCCACGUGUCCGUCCAAGAAGCCAUUGAUCGAUAACUCCACAGUCAAUUGCAUACUUGAUUGUGCUUUCCAAGUAUUCUUUAUCGGUAAAAAGGUCUGGUUGAACAGUUAACAUUCUCAGUAGACCUGCACGCACAACAGUAAAAUGAGCUUAGCAAAAUAAUGGAUUUUUGGGAAGAGGUUAAUACUGUAACCAGGGUAGACAGAUACGAAACGUUUAAAAUUCAAUGCCUAAACAGCACUGAACAUCUUAAUGCAUGCUUUCAUGAAUACGAUAAAUAAAUAAAAAAGGACUCGGAUUGUUUUCUCUCAACAAUGUAGCAGAUGCAUUUUACCCAAUCUGCAAUAUCAACUAGCAAACUGAGGGGCAUUACCUAUUUUUUGUCUCGUAAAAGUUUAUCGGUGGGAGAGUUCAGACCAACCUACCAUACGAACUGAUAAGCUGGACUCCAAAGUCACAACAGAGCACUUUCACCAACUCAGAGAAUAAGCCAGUGCAAACCAAUUCCUAGGCUUCUCUUAAGUUAAUCUAAAACCCAUAAUACAGUUCAGUUCAUACUCUAUUUUGUCUCUGAGACUUUUUAUAUUUUAACGUGGCAUAUGAUAGCGGUCUUCAAGUGGAGGAGCAUGGCAUCACAAAACGAAGAACUCAACAGCUCUUGUUCUACUUAUAUAAGCUUAAAAAAUACCCUACUCCAUGCCCUGCUGUAAUUUAGCGAAAAUAUCCAUGGGCAUAAGUACGUACCUGCAGUGAUGCCAUCUCCAGAAGCUGACAUAUCACUGGUGAAAGGGGUAACGGGGGGAUCCUCCAUGCCAUGCACUGCUCCAUUGUGCUCCCUGGUGUAGUAAUGUAUCUUUGAAGUGCCAUUUGUCACAAACAAAACCUCUAGAUUUUCAUGCCAAAGUGGUGCAACAACUUCUGGCCCAUAAUGGACAAACUUAGAUUUGGCAUUAUUUCUGGUGUCGUUCCUCAUCGGGCUCAAUCCCGCAUAGAAACUCAAGUUCUUGCUUAGUAACUUCAACAACGUCCGCAAGGUUCCAUGCUUCUUGUAUGAAUAGUUUGGUUUCUUCACUUGACUGCCACAGUGGCAAGGGAAGGUUUACAUCAUAGAAAACAACUGCUCCCAAUUUCUUUGAAACUUUAAUUGCUCGCAAUGCAGUUGAUCUCAUGCUCC
RNAcentral lists this long non-coding RNA (22206 nucleotides) under Populus tremula. RNAcentral's name for it is "long non-coding RNA (PTRE_LNC002763)". Lineage: Eukaryota; Viridiplantae; Streptophyta; Magnoliopsida; Malpighiales; Salicaceae. The record is from RNAcentral.